UGAGAACACACUAUGUCUUAGGCCCUUUGCCUGGUGUUGAAGAUGCAGCUGGGAUCAAGACAGACACAUCACUUUAUGGAGACCGGCUGAGAUGAGAUGGGAGGAAACAACCAUUUUCACUGGAGUCAGGUAAAGACUGCAGUUUUUCUGCCACGAAAAGAAAAGAUUGCAGAGGAAAAAAAAGAAGACAGGAGGAUCCUUUGUUCUUGAAAAGAGAUGAGAAAUUUCUGCCUCACAACAUCACACAGCUGUUUUAAACAACAUCUGAUGGAAUUGUUGCUGGUUGUAUUAAAAAAUAAUUGAGGAGGUU
This is a long non-coding RNA of Phacochoerus africanus (Common warthog), 310 nucleotides long. RefSeq lists it as uncharacterized. The record is from RefSeq and is a predicted model, not a curated record. The transcript has 2 exons. Lineage: Eukaryota; Metazoa; Chordata; Mammalia; Artiodactyla; Suidae.